CCUACGGGAGGCAGCAGUGAGGAAUAUUGGUCAAUGGACGCAAGUCUGAACCAGCCAUGCCGCGUGCAUGAAGACGGCUCUAUGAGUUGUAAACUGCUUUUGUACGAGGGUAAACGCAGAUACGAGUAACUGUCUGAAAGUAUCGUACGAAUAAGGAUCGGCUAACUCCGUGCCAGCAGCCGCGGUAAUACGGAGGGUUCAAGCGUUAUCCGGAUUUACUGGGUUUAACGGGUGCGUAGGCGGUCGGAUAAGUUAGAGGUGAAAUCCCGAGGCUCAACUUCGGAAUUGCCUCUGAUACUGGUCGGCUAGAGAGUAGUUGAGGUAGGCGGAAUGUAUGGUGUAGCGGUGAAAUGCGUAGAGAUCAUAAAGAACACCGAUUGCGAAGGCAGCUCACCAAGCUACGACUGACGUUGAGGUACGAAAGCGUGGGGAGCAAACAGGAUUAGAUACCCGUGUAGUC
This 460-nucleotide ribosomal RNA is filed under the name uncultured bacterium. RNAcentral's name for it is "partial 16S ribosomal RNA". It matches the Rfam family "Bacterial small subunit ribosomal RNA", at positions 338 to 795 of the family's 1533-position model. The record is from RNAcentral.